This 406-nucleotide ribosomal RNA is filed under the name uncultured bacterium. RNAcentral describes it as "partial 16S ribosomal RNA". It matches the Rfam family "Bacterial small subunit ribosomal RNA", at positions 30 to 526 of the family's 1533-position model. The record is from RNAcentral.
AUUGAACGCUGGCGGCAGGCCUAACACCUGCAAGUCGAACGAGUGGCGGCCGGGUGAGUAAUGUCUGGUCAACUGCCUGAUGGCGUGGGAUCACUACUGGAAACUGUAGCUAAUACCGCCUACAUGCAGAUGUGCCCAGAUGGGAUUAGCUGGUUGUGGGGGUAACGGCUCACGAAGGGGACGAGCACUAGCUGGUCUGAUAGGAGGACCGUCCACACUGGAAAUGGGACAAGGUCCAGACUCCUACGGGAGGCAGCAGUGGGGAAUAGUGACCAACGGGAGAAAGCCUGAUGCAGCCAUGCCGCGGGUAUGAAGAAGGCCUUCGGGUUGUAAAGUACUUUCAGAGGUGAGGCGUUCCCCUCAGAAGAAGCACCGGCUAACUCCGUGCCAGCAGCCGCGGUAAUUC